RNAcentral lists this ribosomal RNA (492 nucleotides) under uncultured bacterium. RNAcentral's name for it is "partial 16S ribosomal RNA". It matches the Rfam family "Bacterial small subunit ribosomal RNA", at positions 38 to 507 of the family's 1533-position model. The record is from RNAcentral.
GGGGGGGGGGGGGGGGGGGCGGAGCACGGGCGAGUCGGGCGGGAGCGCAGGGAGAGCGUGCUCGUGCGGGGGGCGGGGGGCGGGGGGGGGGGGAGUACAGCGGAAGCUACUUUUUCGUGGGGGAGAACGUAGGGAGGCUUACGCUAAUACAGCCUACGACCUACGGGUGAGAGCAGGGGAUCGUCGGUCCUUGCGCGAUUGCAUGAGCCGAUGUGGGCUUAGCCAGGUGGCGGGGGAAAGGCCCACCAAGGCGACGCUCCGUAGCUGGUCUGCGCGGAUGAUCAGCCACACUGGAACUGAGACACGGUCAAGACUCCUACGGGAGGCAGCAGCGGGGAAGAGUGGAAAAUGGGCGCAAGCCUGAUCCAGCCACACCGAGUGGGUGAAGAAGGCCUUCGGGUUGUAAAGCCCUUCUGUUGGGAAAGAAAAGCAGCAGGUUAAUACCCCGCUGUUCUGACGGUACCCAAAGAAUAAGCACCGGCUAACUUCGUG